This 460-nucleotide ribosomal RNA is filed under the name uncultured bacterium. Its description in RNAcentral is "partial 16S ribosomal RNA". It matches the Rfam family "Bacterial small subunit ribosomal RNA", at positions 338 to 795 of the family's 1533-position model. The record is from RNAcentral.
CCUACGGGAGGCAGCAGUGAGGAAUAUUGGUCAAUGGACGAGAGUCUGAACCAGCCAAGUAGCGUGAAGGAUGACUGCCCUAUGGGUUGUAAACUUCUUUUAUAAGGGAAUAAAACGAGGCACGUGUGCCUUUUUGCAUGUACUUUAUGAAUAAGGAUCGGCUAACUCCGUGCCAGCAGCCGCGGUAAUACGGAGGAUCCGAGCGUUAUCCGGAUUUAUUGGGUUUAAAGGGAGCGUAGAUGGGUUGUUAAGUCAGUUGUGAAAGGUUGCGGCUCAACCGUAAAAUUGCAAUUGAUACUGGCAGUCUUGAGUACAGUUGAGGUAGGCGGAAUUCGUGGUGUAGCGGUGAAAUGCUUAGAUAUCACGAAGAACCCCGAUUGCGAAGGCAGCUUACUAAACUGUGACUGACAUUGAUGCUCGAAAGUGUGGGUAUCAAACAGGAUUAGAUACCCGAGUAGUC